AGAGUUAAAUAGUACGUGAAAUUGUUGAAAGGGAAACGGUUGAAGUCAGUCAUGCCGGCGGGAAUCAGCUUAGGGGAAACUCUGAGUGCACUUCUUCGCUUGGCAGGUUAGCGUCGAUUUUGGACGUCAUAAAAUGACUGGGGGAAGGUAGCUCCUACGGGAGUGUUAAGCCCUUGGUAGAUGUGAUGUCCGGGAUCGAGGAUUGCAACGGAUACCCUUUGGGCUAGCCGCCUAGUCUCUAAUACGAAGUCGGGUUACGGACAGCAUGCUGACCGUGUUCUGAUUUUCGGUUAAAAGAUUAGAGCGAGUGUAAAUUCGUUAAGGACGCUGACGUAAUGGCUUUAAACGA
Molecule: unclassified non-coding RNA, 349 nt
Filed under: uncultured Glomeromycotina
Lineage: Eukaryota; Fungi; Glomeromycota
Description: sequence contains 28S rRNA gene
Source: RNAcentral